This 583-nucleotide small RNA is filed under the name Pan troglodytes (chimpanzee). Its description in RNAcentral is "processed transcript". Lineage: Eukaryota; Metazoa; Chordata; Mammalia; Primates; Hominidae. The record is from RNAcentral.
AUUGACGCCAUGAGCGCGCUGCUGCGGCUGCUGCGCACGGGUGCCCCAGCCGCUGCGUGCCUGCGGUUGGGGACCAGUGCAGGGACCGGGUCGCGCCGUGCUAUGGCCCUGUACCACACUGAGGAGCGCGGCCAGCCCUGCUCGCAGAAUUACCGCCUCUUCUUUACGGUAGCCGCGCGGUCCAGGCCACCUUCCUUCCCGCGGGAGCGCGCACCGAGUCACGAGAACUGCCAGCGAGGAGGCGGCGGAUCAAGACCCCAAAGCGGAGCGCAGAGGCGCAGGGCUGCCGGCUGGGGGGUAGACAGCGCCCUGUGCCCUGCCAGCCGCCCUCCCCGAGGGGUAGUCAGAGUGCAGGCGGCCACACCGCGGCGGCCUGCAGCCAUUAGCCGGCCCGGCCGCCGUUCCUGGUUCACACAACUCAGUGAGGAAGGGAAGGCAGAGCCAGCCCACAUGCCGGCCUUCCUAGAGGCGUAAGAAACCUCCUACUGCGGGAGCUCCCUGACGUCGGAGAGGCAGGCGGAACUUUGCGGAUGCCUAAUCCAGCGCGUCUUCUUUUUUUGAGGGACUCUGAUGAAGGUUCUUU